AUUACUCGUAUAGAUCCUGGCUCAGGACGAACGCUGGCGGCGUGCUUAACACAUGCAAGUCGAGCGGGGAACUUCGGUUCCCAGCGGCGGACGGGUGAGUAACACGUGGGUAACCUACCUCAUAGUGGGGAAUAGCCUUUCGAAAGGAAGAUUAAUACCGCAUAAUACUCGAGAAUCGCAUGAUUCUUGAGCCAAAGGAUUUAUUCGCUAUGAGAUGGACCCGCGGCGCAUUAGCUUGUUGGUGAGGUAACGGCUCACCAAGGCUUCGAUGCGUAGCCGACCUGAGAGGGUGAUCGGCCACAUUGGAA
This 308-nucleotide ribosomal RNA is filed under the name Clostridium acetobutylicum. RNAcentral describes it as "bacterial SSU rRNA". It matches the Rfam family "Bacterial small subunit ribosomal RNA", at positions 1 to 318 of the family's 1533-position model. Lineage: Bacteria; Bacillati; Bacillota; Clostridia; Eubacteriales; Clostridiaceae. The record is from RNAcentral.